Molecule: long non-coding RNA, 1191 nt
Organism: Saccostrea cuccullata (small rock oyster)
Lineage: Eukaryota; Metazoa; Mollusca; Bivalvia; Ostreida; Ostreidae
Exons: 3
Source: RefSeq, a predicted model, not a curated record
UGCAGGAGUAAUUGCCACAGUCACGUUGGGGUGCAUUCACUAAAGAAAAUAUCAGGAAGUAUCUAAAGAUCCACGAGGAGAACCGCAAGUCAGCAUCUUCAGCUUCUAAUGCUGAUCCUAACACGCUGAAGCAGGAGAAUAAGGAGUUGAAGGACCUGACCAUCUGUAAGAUCUGCCUGGACGAGAAAGUCUCCAUUGUAUUCCUGCCCUGCGGUCACCUGGUGUCCUGCCCCCAGUGUGCCCCAGCCCUCACCAAAUGUCCAAUCUGUAGGAAGAACAUCAAAGGGACUGUAAGAACCAACCUUGUAGAGAAAAGCACAGCCAAAUAACAAUGGCUGAGGAAGGUUAUCUGAGAGGAUGGAACAAUAAGAUUUGCAUUAUUUUCUAUUAAUUGGAAUGAAUGAGAGAGUGCAAUUUUUUUUAGUAAGUUGAGUAUUGUGUCAUGCUUUUAUUUUUUUUCUCUUUGCAUGAAAGGAAUUAAAGGUUAGUCAAAGAUUUGUUCCAUCCUCUCAGAUAAAAUCCACUGGAUUUCAAUAAGCUUCCUCAAAUAUCGAAGGUUUCCCUUUAUUGUAUAGUGUACAUAUCAUGUUUAAUGUGAUAAUAUUCAAAUGCAAACUUUUUCUUAAUAUUAUGUUCAAUUAUACCCCUUCUCCUUCCUGUUCAAAAAAAAAAAAAAAAGUUGAAAAAUGGUAUUUGAAAAAUAUUUUUGCUCACAUGAACCAUUUAAAGGUUCAGGUAUAAAGGUUGGUCCAACAUUUCUUAUAGUAAAAAAAAUCAGCAAAAAAAUGUGAGUGUUGUGGAUCAUUGACCCAUGGUUAUCUUAAUGAUUAAUUUUUGACUGCCUUGUAUUUGCAUUCUGUGAUUGUUCAAUAUUUUUCAUCAUAAAAAAAAAUCAUUUUUUUUUCUCGUUGACAAAUCUUUAUGUUGAUUCAUGUAUUGUUGGAUUUUCAUUUUACAUUUGUACUCAAUAAUCAUGUGCUUUAACCAACUACUGGUAUAAAUGCCACAAUGACAUUCUGUAAGAGACAUACUGAUAUUAUAACAGCAGUUCGAUCAUUUAAUAGAUUGUUAAUCAUCAUUAUAAUGUGGGUAUGUUCAAUCUUGAACGAUGUCAUAUGAGUUUGGUUUACAUGUACAUUUACAUUAUAAUAUACAUGUGCAUUUUAGAUUAAAAACAUUGAAAAAAAUUCA